This 1269-nucleotide long non-coding RNA is filed under the name Linum usitatissimum (flax). Its description in RNAcentral is "long non-coding RNA (LUSI_LNC004145)". The stretch from base 527 to 601 matches the Rfam family "Small nucleolar RNA R12". Lineage: Eukaryota; Viridiplantae; Streptophyta; Magnoliopsida; Malpighiales; Linaceae. The record is from RNAcentral.
CUGGGCUGGGCUGGGCUCACAGCCCGAACUGGAGAGGUUGCUGCUAGCGAGCUAGGGUUUCUGGUUUUUUGUUCUCCCUCUCUUCGGGUGGUUCCUGCCACUCUAUAUAAUCAUCAGACGUGCAGCUUGACCCUCAAUAUCUGGAUUUUCUGUGUUUGAUUGAUUAGGGUUCAUCGAGAGAUUUUUUAUACUGAAGAGUAUAGUGCAGCGGCUCUCUCGAUUUAGCUGUUUAUUGUAAUUUUGGGGAUGGGAAUUCUGAGUUAUCUUUUGAAAAGAAAAGGGGAGUGCCUGAAAUUGCAAUUCUCUGAUCUGAAUGUGAUAGAUCAACGGGAAUCUAUCCUCAGGCGAAAGUGAAUGGGUUGCGCAGUUGACAAGUUGACUGCGUUUCUGCCUUUAGCUCCGGCACUCCUUUACUCUAUAGGAAUUUGUUGGUGACAAGGUCGAUACAGACAUUCAAACUUCUCUGUUUCGUCUCUUUUUUUUCUCUCUAUGGUAUACCACUUUUGUUUCUGUGAUGGAUGAAAGGGAGGGGAUGAUCGAAAAAACAGACGGAUUCCCACUGAAUCAGAUGGUGAUUACUAACCAGCUACUUCUGACCCUCCAUCAUCAUCUCUAUCUCUUGUUUAACUCUGUUUUUCGUUCAUUCUAUAUUAGCUUCUUAUUUUUAAUCAUAUGAACUUUCGGAAAUUGUUGGCUGGUGAUGUAGAUGACAAUAUUUGCUACUCUUGAGAGUAAUCAGUGAUGAUAUUUUAUCCACCAAGAUCUCUGAGGCUAACAUUCCCUUCCCUUUCAUCACUAAAUCACUUAUCUUUGUACUGAGAACUGACGGAAGUUCAUUUUGAUUUGUUAUAUGUUGAUCUUGUUUUUCGAUAGUCUGGUUUGUUGCAGGUUGAAGCUGAUUUCCAGCGUGGAAUGGAAAUGGGAUUCCCUCCUUGUACUCAAAUGUGCAGUCUUUUUCUUAGUAGUAGUAUGGCUGCAAGCAUUAUCUCCUUACGUCGCCUACGUUCCUUUUGUGAAAAUUGUAAUGCAAGUUUCACCAGCAUUUCUGUCGUAUUAUUAUCCAAAUUAAACUCAUUACCAAUCUCGUGUUCUACGAAUUUGGGCAUGUUCUCUGUAAUGCUAAUUGAUUGUACACUAGAGCCAAUUCUAGCUGGACUCUUGAGCCAAUUUAAAGAUGUUAUUUUGCUUCAUCACUUUCCCUUUUGGCUUUGUUUUCGUAACAAUAACAAAAGGUAAACAAUAACAUAAUAGGCUGGGAUCAAUGCUCAA